CAACAUGAUCUCUUCUCAAAAUUAAGGCUAUGUCUUUAAAAAAAAAAGGUCGCCAGAUUUGGACUGGAUUAGGGUUAGACUAAAAUUAGAUUAGGAUUAGGGUUAGCGGUUAGGGGGUUAGGGGGGUUAAUGGUUAGAGGUUAGGGUGGGGGUUAUGUUUAAAAUUAAGGCAAUGUCUUAAUUUUGAACGCUUUUUACAAUUAAGACAUAGCCUUAAUUUUCGGAAGAGAUCGAGCUGA
This is a non-coding RNA of Paramuricea clavata, 239 nucleotides long. The record is from the annotation of a GenBank genome assembly. Lineage: Eukaryota; Metazoa; Cnidaria; Anthozoa; Malacalcyonacea; Plexauridae.